This is a long non-coding RNA of Zeugodacus cucurbitae (melon fly), 812 nucleotides long. RefSeq lists it as uncharacterized. The record is from RefSeq and is a predicted model, not a curated record. Lineage: Eukaryota; Metazoa; Arthropoda; Insecta; Diptera; Tephritidae. The transcript is spliced from 3 exons.
AAAUGGACAUUGAAUGUAUGGGACUUUACACAUUUUUCAGAUAUCUAUAUGUAUGUAAGAACACACUAAGCUAUACAUAUGAACAGUUGUUGUCAUUUUACAUAUUAUACCGCGCUACAAAGUGAUGACAAUGUAGUGAAUCAAAAUUUCUACACUCUACAUUCAACAUUAGCUGGAAGUAUUUCGUAAAAUUGACAAUGCAAUUACUCAGAUUUUUAAAUAUUUAGCACGCAAAAAUCACAAGAAAUAAGCAAAACAAAUCGAUAUUUGUUGAGCAAAAUUAAACAACGCCUCAGAGUGACGGAGAAAGUGGUGGCUACAAAUUCGCAAUGCAAGGUAGGACGCAAAGCAAUGACGAGCAAAAGGUCAAGCAUUCAAUGUUGUCUCGGGGGAAAUUACGCACAUGUUGGAACAACCAUUGCGUUUUAUAAUUUAAAACAACUGGAAAAUAAUGUAUUAUAUUUUACUUUUCUAUUGGCAGUGACCAUGACCUAGAGACGAGAGCCAUGGGAAAUGUGCCAAUUGGGAAAGCAAUAGCAUGGCGUAUACUCACUAAUAUUAUAUUGCAUGUUUGUACAAAUGUGUGAGGAAACACACAUAUGUACAUACAUAUAUAAUUUUAGACAUAUAUACAUUUAGCAUGUCGUGAGAAUUGCUAAGCAAUUAUUACAAUUUAUUAUAUUUUUAUGCAAAUUUGAAAAUUAAGUAAUUCAAUUUUUUUUUUACAUUUAUGAAAAUCAAAAUUUUAAUAAAUCGAAAUAUACACGUAUAAUAUAUACGUGUUUGAAUGUGGAUAAUCACAUAUGACGUGU